This 642-nucleotide ribosomal RNA is filed under the name uncultured marine bacterium. RNAcentral's name for it is "bacterial SSU rRNA". It matches the Rfam family "Bacterial small subunit ribosomal RNA", at positions 8 to 631 of the family's 1533-position model. The record is from RNAcentral.
AGAGUUUGAUCCUGGCUCAGGAUGAACGCUGGCGGCGUGCCUAAUACAUGCAAGUCCAGCGAACGUCAUAGAAGCUUGCUUCUAUGACGUUAGCGGCGGACGGGUGAGUAACACGUGGGCAACCUGCCUGUAAGACUGGGAUAACUUCGGGAAACCGAAGCUAAUACCGGAUAGGAUCUUCUCCUUCAUGGGAGAUGAUUGAAAGAUGGUUUCGGCUAUCACUUACAGAUGGGCCCGCGGUGCAUUAGCUAGUUGGUGUGGUAACGGCUCACCAAGGCAACGAUGCAUAGCCGACCUGAGAGGGUGAUCGGCCACACUGGGACUGAGACACGGCCCAGACUCCUACGGGAGGCAGCAGUAGGGAAUCUUCCGCAAUGGACGAAAGUCUGACGGAGCAACGCCGCGUGAGUGAUGAAGGCUUUCGGGUCGUAAAACUCUGUUGUCAGGGAAGAACAAGUACGAGAGUAACUGCUCGUACCUUGACGGUACCUAACCAGAAAGCCACGGCUAACUACGUGCCAGCAGCCGCGGUAAUACGUAGGUGGCAAGCGUUAUCCGGAAUUAUUGGGCGUAAAGCGCGCGCAGGCGGUUUCUUAAGUCUGAUGUGGAAGCCCACGGCUCAACCGUGGAGGGUCAUUGGAA